Molecule: non-coding RNA, 69 nt
Organism: Podarcis lilfordi (Lilford's wall lizard)
Lineage: Eukaryota; Metazoa; Chordata; Lepidosauria; Squamata; Lacertidae
Source: the annotation of a GenBank genome assembly
GCUGUAGCUCAGUGGGAGAGCACCUGCCUUGAAUGCAAAAGGUCCCAGGUUCAAUCCCCAGUAUCUCCA